This 253-nucleotide ribosomal RNA is filed under the name uncultured bacterium. RNAcentral's name for it is "partial 16S ribosomal RNA". It matches the Rfam family "Bacterial small subunit ribosomal RNA", at positions 524 to 776 of the family's 1533-position model. The record is from RNAcentral.
UACGUAGGGGGCAAGCGUUGUUCGGAAUUACUGGGCGUAAAGGGCGCGUAGGCGGCACGGCAAGUCAGGAGUGAAAGCCCGGGGCUCAACCCCGGAAUGUCUUUUGAAACUGCCGAGCUAGAGUGCGGAAGAGGCAACUGGAAUUCCCAGUGUAGCGGUGAAAUGCGUAGAUAUCUGGAGGAACACCGGUGGCGAAGGCGGCACUCUGGACCGAAACUGACGCUGAGGCGCGAAAGCCAGGGGAGCAAACGGG